AUAUUUUACAAUGGGCGAAAGCCUGAUCCAGCCAUGCCGCGUGUGUGAAGAAGGUCUACGGAUUGUAAAGCACUUUAAGUUGGGAGGAAGGGCAGUAAGUUAAUACCUUGCUGUUUUGACGUUACCGACAGAAUAAGCACCGGCUAACUUCGUGCCAGCAGCCGCGGUAAUACGAAGGGUGCAAGCGUUAAUCGGAAGUACUGGGCGUAAAGCGCCUGUAGGUGGGUUGUUAAGUUGGAAGUGAAAGCCCCGGGCUCAAACUGGGAACUGCUUUCAUAACUGCUGAGCUAGAGUACGGUAGAGGGUGGUGGAAUUUCCUGUGUAGCGGUGAAAUGCGUAGAUAUAGGAAGGAACACCAGUGGCGAAGGCGACCACCUGGGCUAAUACUGACACUGAGGUGCGAAAGCGUGGGGAGCAAAC
This 420-nucleotide ribosomal RNA is filed under the name uncultured bacterium. RNAcentral's name for it is "partial 16S ribosomal RNA". It matches the Rfam family "Bacterial small subunit ribosomal RNA", at positions 361 to 773 of the family's 1533-position model. The record is from RNAcentral.